UGAACUGUCAUGCUCGCUAGGCGAAGCCCACGUGUUUUGAAAAAAAAAUAAAAAUAAAAUAAAAUAAAAUAAAAUAAUAAAAAAAAUAUAACAGAAAAAUCUUGGACUUGGACCUCUCUCAUUUGAGCCCACAAAGCCACAAAAAUCAGGUUAUAAAUUCUAAAAAAAAUUCAGUGGAAAAACCCUAGAGAGAUUCUAACUAAUUCAGAGCAACUUCCAGAGACUGAAGGGAACUCAUCUACAAAGAACCAAUUUCCC
Molecule: long non-coding RNA, 258 nt
Filed under: Lathyrus oleraceus (garden pea)
Lineage: Eukaryota; Viridiplantae; Streptophyta; Magnoliopsida; Fabales; Fabaceae
Description: Pisum sativum (pea) long non-coding RNA (PSAT_LNC016526)
Source: RNAcentral